This 515-nucleotide ribosomal RNA is filed under the name uncultured bacterium. RNAcentral's name for it is "partial 16S ribosomal RNA". It matches the Rfam family "Bacterial small subunit ribosomal RNA", at positions 28 to 523 of the family's 1533-position model. The record is from RNAcentral.
GAUGGACGCUGGCGGCGUGCCUAAUACAUGCAAGUCGAGCGAAUGGAUUAAGAGCUUGCUCUUAUGAAGUUAGCGGCGGACGGGUGAGUAACACGUGGGUAACCUGCCCAUAAGACUGGGAUAACUCCGGGAAACCGGGGCUAAUACCGGAUAACAUUUUGAACCGCAUGGUUCGAAAUUGAAAGGCGGCUUCGGCUGUCACUUAUGGAUGGACCCGCGUCGCAUUAGCUAGUUGGUGAGGUAACGGCUCACCAAGGCAACGAUGCGUAGCCGACCUGAGAGGGUGAUCGGCCACACUGGGACUGAGACACGGCCCAGACUCCUACGGGAGGCAGCAGUAGGGAAUCUUCCGCAAUGGACGAAAGUCUGACGGAGCAACGCCGCGUGAGUGAGGAAGGCUUUCGGGUCGUAAAACUCCGUUGUUAGGGAAGAACAAGUGCUAGUUGAAUAAGCUGGCACCUUGACGGUACCUAACCAGAAAGCCACGGCUAACUACGUGCCAGCCGCCGCGGUAA